Molecule: ribosomal RNA, 253 nt
Filed under: uncultured bacterium
Lineage: Bacteria
Description: partial 16S ribosomal RNA
Rfam family: Bacterial small subunit ribosomal RNA
Source: RNAcentral
UACGUAGGUGGCAAGCGUUGUUCGGAAUUAUUGGGCGUAAAGGGCGCGUAGGCGGUUUGUUAAGUCGGCUGUGAAAGCCCGGGGCUCAACCCCGGAGGGUCAGCCGAUACUGGCAGACUAGAGUACGGAAGAGGUAGCUGGAAUUCCCGGUGUAGCGGUGAAAUGCGUAGAGAUCCGGAGGAACCCCAGAGGCGAAGGCGGCGCCCUGGCUCGCAACUGACGCUCAGACACGACAGCAUGGGGAGCGAACGGG